GCCAGGUGUGGUGGCACACACCUGUAGUCCCAGCUACUUGGGGGGCUGAGGUGGGAGGAUCACUUGAGCCCAGGAGGUCGAGGCUGCAGUGAGCUGUGACUGCACCACUGCACUCCAGCCUGGGUGACAGAGCGAGACCCUGCCUCCA
This 148-nucleotide non-coding RNA is filed under the name Nomascus leucogenys (northern white-cheeked gibbon). Lineage: Eukaryota; Metazoa; Chordata; Mammalia; Primates; Hylobatidae. The record is from Rfam by way of RNAcentral.